UUGUUUGCCAGUCUUCAAGAGGUUUCUAAAGCUCCAGGAGUGCCUUUGGCCUCGUCUUUCCUUCCUUCACCACCUCCCUUAAGGCUCUGUGGUUCUUCCCUAAAGUCAGACCCUGGGCCAGGCAAGCAGGGAUGGGCACUGUGCUCCCUCCUAGUGCUCUGGCCACUGAAUCUGCCCUGCUAGGACAUCUGUGAACGGCUGGGGGCACUCUGUGGGCAGCCCGCAGGAGGGGUGGUAAGGGGCCAGAAGCCCAUCUCCCAGGGAAGCCAGGCCUUUGCAGACACUCACUUCACGUGCCCUGGUCUCUGGCACCGCCCUUUUCCCUCCCCCACUCCAGGGCAGGUCGUCAGGAGCUCUUCCCCUGCCGAGGACACUCAGGGGCCUGUACCCCAGAUGCUUGGCCCACUGCCCUCUUACUGCAGGCCGCGGCCUGCCCUGCAUGACAUCCCAGCCCUGCCCAGUGGGGAAGCGGCCAGGACGUUCAGUGCAGCCAUGUCGGCCCCGAACUCCAGCUGCACUUCACCAAGGCCACGCAGUAGCGUGCUCGUCCAGAUGCACAGCAAGACAGACUCCUCAAGCCUAAGCCGGGCGGCCCACCUGGAAGAGGAAGCGGGGCAGGUGCCCGCAGGCAGGGCUCACCAUGACACGGUGUGAGACCUCCGGCUACAACAUGGGACCCGGGCGCUGCUCCGACCCCUCGUGUCUUGUGUUGCAGCCGGAGGGACGCAGGUCCGCAGCAGAGCCUGCUUCCCGCCAGGGACCCGACGUGGCAGCAGCACGGAGACGGCGGGAAGGAAGGGUCAUUAUCUUGACAAUACACAGAACUGCAGAGCUACUGUGACUGCACCCUGACAGCGGUGGGGAGUGGAAUCGGGCGUUGUGUGAAUCCAAUCUUUCGAAGGAAAGAAAACCCCGUCCUGGAGUCAUGGCUGAAAAGCGCAGAAGACGCUGAGCAGGUCCCUCCAGGAGCCACUCGCGUUUGCAGGAGGCUUAGAGGAAGCUGUGUAUCUUUACAGGCCGCCUUGGGCACCCACUCGGGUGAGUGAAGGGCUGACCCGUACCUGUGACCUUCACUGCUGUUUGUCCGACUCACCCCCUGGGUCUUGCCACAGAGCUCAGGACCCUCUCGCCCCGUUCCCCCUCCCCUGCCUCAGCCACCCCUGUGUGCUGGUCCCCCAGGCCCUGAGAUAACCAGUAGCUAACCCCCUCCGUUAGCCUCUGCCCUCCCUGUGGUCGCCGGGUCCAGGGAGGCCCUCCCGGCUCCUGCGCCGCCCACAGAAGACAGACGGCGACCUGUGAGUUUCAGAGGCGUCUGUCCAUUACCACCGGUGCCCUGACUGCUCCUUCACCCCACCCGUCCCCCACAGUACCCAGCCCGGACCCCUCGACAGUGGGAAGGGGUGUCAGGUUUCCCGUCUCCGCGAGGGCCUUUGACUUUCUUUCUCAACAUAACAGGACUUCCAUGGGCAGCUGAGGGUGGUACAUUUUGCCAGGCAAUGUGCAUUCUUCCGAUCUCGCUCGCUUCUGGGACUUGACAGGCUGUGAUUUGUUUGUUUUUUGUGAGUAAGGCGCCACAGGCUGGGAAGGCGAUUGGCUGCCUUCAACCCUUUACCGCCCAGCUGUGAAGGCAGGUGACAAGGAGACUGUUCUUUGCUGUGUGUUCUCACUGGCCCAGCCCAGGAUCAGAGCAUCCAGGGGUCCUGGCGGGUGGGUGAUCCUGGUAAGGCUGUGAGAGCCUUGUCUCACCCGCAGGCCAGUGCUGCCAUUAUCUGAGCCCUUUCCGGGAGCCAGGCUCUGUGCUAAGUGCUUUGUUGCCAAGUUCGCUGUCUCACGUAGUCCUCAUAACAGCUCUCUGCGAGGUAGGUGUCAGCACCCCCAUCUUCCAGGAGAGGAACCUGAAAGGUUCAAUAAGGUGUCCACGGCCAGGACUGUAGACGGUGGUGUUGGACUCUGGCCCCGGCCCACCUGGACUCAUAAGCGGUAAGCUAGCUCAGCUCACAGCAGCACACCCACCACCAGCCUUACAAAGUGGGGGGACAGUUUCGUUAGAGUGCGAAGCAUUAGGGGUUCAAAUAACAAAUGGUUGUCCAAUGCAAGCCCAUGACAUGGUUAAAAAAAAAAGCACCUUUACACAGCUGGAAGCCCCGGUCUAAUUUCUCUCCCUCCGUUGUAACAUGGACCACCUCUAGCCCAGGUCCUCAAAUGGAACUUGAGGGUUUAAAUUUCUGCUGCUGUCCAAGACACCCUAACUCUUAGACCCCAGAACCCACCCAUCCUAGGAGUCCAGCCUGAGCGAACUCGCACUGUGGCCCUCUCAGCCCUUGCCCUGGGAUCUCCCAAAGUCUUUGUGGAAUCUUCUUUCACCCCCACCUCAGAGCAUAUCCUUGCUCCCCCUUCUGAGCUCGGGCAGGGCGGGGCGGGACGGGGCGGGGGUGGGGGCCACAGGUGCGGCCACUUGAAGCAGGAUCUUAGUUUCCUGACUGCCAAUUGAAUCCGGGCUGCCUCGGUGAAAACCAGGAAUCUUAAUGCCUAGACCACAAGGGCCAGCGGGCUUGAAACAGGACCUUGGUCCUUGUCUUCUCUGAAGAAAAUUCAACAAGGAGACAGAAGGUAGUGAAGCAGGAGACAAGCUCCAGCUGCCCAGCGGCCCAGCUAUCUCCUGUCUCACUUCCAAGGGUGUGAUGGUGCCAGAGGGGCUAAGCUGGUGUUUACUGAGGGAUGGCCAUCUAACCUUUUGAUCUUCAUCUCAGUCCUCCUGGUCUGUAACCAGGGUGAAAGGAAAGACUGGGUGCCCGGUGUGCCUCAGAUCCACCCCAGCCCUUCCUGUGCACCUCUUUUGAUUGUAAGGAACUACAUUUCACGGCUUCUUUACCACUGACCUUGGGAGGCAUGCCACGGGAGGCCUGGUGGAAAACUGGAGGGAGGGGAGGAAAUUCCCUACUGCUUUACUCUCUCCCUCUGCUCUUGCAUCUCAGCAGUGGCUGUGUUCCCUUCAAGGCUCCAGCUUCUGCCACGCAGCCCCUGCCUUAUGGUCCCAGCUCCCAUGGGGCCAUCUCACAGUUUCAGUAUCUGCAGGAGACCUGGUUUUGGCCCCUGGUCCCACCCUCUGCUCCCACUGUCUUCACGGGCCCUGGUGUGUUUGUGGCUUCCUGCUGUGGCUAAUCUCUGCUUUUCCACUGUUUCCUGUUGAAUUCCUCUGCGCUCCUGUAGCUUCAUCAACUGAUCCCCUGUAUUAAGUUCCUCUUUUCAAAGACCUAGAGGGAUUUCUGUUUUCCUGGGCAGACCCAGCUUUCACCAAGUGCUUUAUGAACCAUACUGCCUAGACAAAGGAAGAGGCUCUUGUUCCUCUGUUCCUCCCUGCCCAGCUUGGAAGUGAGGAGGGCAGAGCUCAUUUCUUUCUUUUUAAAGUCUAGAUUUGUUAUGAUUAUAGAAGUUACCUGUUAGUGAGGAAAGCUCUGAGCAUCAGUGAUGCGACCCUCCACUCAGACUGUGGGACUAUCCCCCUCUUUUU
This is a long non-coding RNA of Orcinus orca (killer whale), 3511 nucleotides long. RefSeq lists it as uncharacterized. The record is from RefSeq and is a predicted model, not a curated record. The transcript is spliced from 4 exons. NCBI's taxonomy places the organism in Eukaryota, Metazoa, Chordata, Mammalia, Artiodactyla, Delphinidae.